RNAcentral lists this ribosomal RNA (253 nucleotides) under uncultured bacterium. RNAcentral describes it as "partial 16S ribosomal RNA". It matches the Rfam family "Bacterial small subunit ribosomal RNA", at positions 524 to 776 of the family's 1533-position model. The record is from RNAcentral.
UACGUAGGGUGCAAGCGUUGUCCGGAAUUAUUGGGCGUAAAGGGCUCGUAGGCGGUCUGUUGCGUCGGCUGUGAAAACCCGGGGCUCAACUCCGGGCCUGCAGCCGAUACGGGCAGACUAGAGUUCGGCAGGGGAGACUGGAAUUCCUGGUGUAGCGGUGAAAUGCGCAGAUAUCAGGAGGAACACCGGUGGCGAAGGCGGGUCUCUGGGCCGAUACUGACGCUGAGGAGCGAAAGCGUGGGGAGCGAACAGG